UCUGUUUGCUCUCCCUGAGUAGCUGCUUCUGAUUUUCUGUUGUUCAAGUCAAAUGACAGGCAAGUUAGUUGUGCAGAAUAUGAAUUUAAAAAUAAUGCAGAUAAAAUUCACACUGCCUACAGUCCUAAAAUACUCUAAAAUUUCUGUAUGUAUUUUCUGUUUAAAAGUGUACAUAUUAUCCAUUCCCUUUAAUAUAUUUCUGAUUAAAUGUUAUGAGACAAGAGGCUGACUACAGUUUGAGUGUCAAAAUGCUUCAGGACUUUAUUCAAAUCUUAAAACUCUAAAUGAUGAAGUUUUCAGGGAUUUCACAGCAUAGAAAAAAUGUCUUGUAUUCUGUUUUGCUAAUGCCCAUCAUGGCAAUGCAUCAUCUAUUUUUUUUUCUUCAGGUGGUGCUGGUUCUUGGGAUCAAAUAGAGUGGCAGUUAGGGAUCUUGGUACCUAUGGAAAAAGAUUAAGCUCUUUCCAUCCUAAUGAAGCAGAGAAGAAAGGAUAUAUUUAUCCUUCUGUGCUGACUUGUGAGGAAAGGAACUUCUAUACGUGGAUUUUUUUUUUAGAGUAACCUGAAGCAUUCAAGUGGGCAUUAAGUCUGUUUGAGCAUAAAUGCCCCAAAGAAUUCCAGCCACCACCUUUUUAAGGCCAGAAAGAUCCUGAGAAGCCUUUCACAACUCCCUGGACAUGAACUGGGAUCCCCUUGUUUGUGUUUGCCUCUGACCUUCAGAACAGAAGGGGAAGGAAGUGCUGUGAUAAAACUUGUCUGUGUAGUUAAGGACUCUGCCCCUCCACGUGUGCAAAGGGACGACACUUCAUUUUUUGUCUAUGACUUUUUCAGUCUUGAGUGCCUAACUGUGCAAACUUCAUGGAGUUGUUCUUACAUAGUUAUUUUUUGAGUACCAUAGGGAAAAUUGAUACCCUUUGUAUAAGGAACAUAACUAUAGCAUAAGAAGCUAUACAGAGCCUUCAAUUUAUGAACUUUAGUAUUAAUUUUAAACACUUUACAAAAAAUGCAGAGUAUGGAAAUGAAAUAAGGGAUGCCGGAGGUGUUAUUAUAUUAAUAGUGUAAUUUGAUUGAACGUCAAUGACUCAGGAGAUCUUUUGUCUACUGAACAAAAAAAAGAGAAAUCUUGAUCUGAUUUUCAACAAAGUUCUUGAGAUGUGCAUCCAGAAGAUUACUCUGCAGUAUUCUGUUAUCAUCUCACUUAAGCAUGCUUACUGGUUUGAUGUUCAUAAUUAAGUGCUUAAAAUAUUUUUAAUGACAGAGCUGUCUACAUUAAGGGGCCAAAGUAUCUGAAAAUAUUGUCAAGAACUUUGGUAUUUACACCUGUGUUAACUCUGCAAUUUUUUUUUAUCUGAAACACAAUAUAUUUCUUUCUGUUUUUAUAGAAGAGUAGUGGCAUAUCAGUUGCCUGCAAAGAGCUAUGGGGACUAUGUAAGUGAGGGAUUUUGUGUCAGGUGGGCUCCUACUCUCUCUAAUCCUUGUUUUACAGCUUUAUCAACAGAAUUACACCCAUGAGAUACUUCAGCUUUAACUAACAAAUUCUCUAUGUAAAAUGUGACAGUGCAUCAUUCUUUUCAUGGAGGAAUUGUUUCUUCUGAUUUUGCAAGUACUGAAAAGAAGGAUUUCUUGCAGGGCAAUCAUACAGCGUAGCGUCCCACUGAGAUGUGCAAGGAUCAAGUGGGUGCACUGUAUGCAUUUUUGUUACAGAAUCAUGGCCUUAGCAACCAGAAGCACCCCGUGCUUGAAGCUUCUAAGUAUUGGUUUACAGUGUAUGUAUAGUAUAUAUAUAUGUGUGCUGAAAUGAUUGUAUUCUCAUAGAUGCCAGUACAUAGUUGUUUAACCAUUACUUCAGGAACUGAGGGUAUGCAAAGAAAGUCAAGUAAUUUGCUUACUGUUAAAUUUCUUUUUGUGUUGCUAUAUGCUCAAGUAUUCAGGGAUUUCUGUGUACUUAUUACAAUAGUGUAUUUUGGCCCAGUGUUAGACUAGAAUCUGUGCUGUUCAUAUGUUAAUUGGACAGAACCUUCCAUGUGAGGUUCUUUCCAAGUAAGUACAUCUGAGUAGCCUCUGGUACUGUUAGGUGGGAGUAGUGUGUACAUGCACAUACCUGUGAAUUUGAUGUUAGGGAUCUUAUGGUGAGGGGAUAUGAAUGUGCAACUCGAAACAAUGAGUACACAGAUGAGUACACACAAGGCGAUCAUACAAAUCAUGCAAAAAUGCAGCACUUUAAGGCUAGUUACAGCUCUGUGCCCUGCUAUGCCAGACACAAGUGUGCCUCACUACCUGAUACUGUGUUGGUGUAGGGACUGAAGGCUCGGGUACAUGAGGUGUGCAGCACAGACCAUUCAGAGCAGAAUAGUUACAUGUGUCCACGUAUCUAGGAGCAGGUCUGAGAUCUUUGUGUUCGUGUUGCUCGAAUAAAAUCCUGAAGGAUGCUAAAAAUAAGUGCAAUAAUCCUUUGAGGGUUGUUCCCUGGCUUGGGUCAGCUCCUCAGUUUCCUGCUCUAAGAUUGCAGCACUCUAAUGUAUUAGGUAUUUGUAUAAUCAUUGUUAAUAUUUCAUGUAAACUAGUGUAAGCCUCCCUGAAUUAUUCCAGGAUAAUUCUAAUAAUCUGUAUUUGCUUAUAUCUGUACUAUAAACAGAAGGUUUACAGAUCUUAGAAGCUUUGUACAGCGUUGAUGGAUGAUCCAAUGAGGUAAGACAAGUGAUUUUUAAAGGAUUUAGAUGGAAAACAGCUCUUGUUUGCUUUUAAAUAAAACUUAUGUCUAUCUGUUUAAUUGAGAGGUUAUUUUACACCUUUCUCCUGACUGUUGUGAUAGUACUGAUCACAAUUUAUAGUUAUAUAUGUUUAAGUGAAAAUGUAAAUUUUUUACACCACACUUUUGCAGGAAACAUAUCAUAUUCAAUUUCCUUGUAAAAGCUGUAUUUAUGAAUAAGAUGCAAGUAUGUGAAGCAAGUUUUGCCAUUAAUAAAAGUGUGACAAUAUCAUGCUGAUGAUGUAUGUUGUCCUCAGAAUUGCCAGUGGGGAUCAGAACCAAAGAUGUUUCUAGCCUUGCCUAGUCCUGCCUCCAUCAGUGGCCACCAAAAGAUGCUGUGAAACAAAGAAAUUAUACAGGGAUCCCGUUUUUCUUCAGGAAUUUUUUGGCUUUGAACUCGUGGUUUCUUUCAGCCUUUACAAUCCCUUGUGGCUGUGAGUUCCAUGUUUUAAUAAUGUUUUAUGUGGAGAAGGUGCUCUCUUAUUUGUCUCAGAUAUGUUUAUUCAAGAAUUGCUACUGCAUUUGAACACAGUACUAAAAACAUUGUAAGAUGAAGAGUAAUCCACUUCAAAUCAGUUGUUAAACGUCAUGGGAGAGUCUAAUGACAAAAUACCUGUAUAGGCAGAAAAUGUCCCAUGUUUCUUCUGUUCUUAGGCAGAAGAUGUCUGCUCAGGCAGAAACUUGUCCUAAGUUGAUGACAAUGCAACCUUACUUAUUCCUUCUAAAUACAUUUUUGCACAUAAAUACUUUUGUAGACUAGUGUUAAAAGUGUAGAUUAAGUGUUAUAAGUCAGAUUCCAACUGCAGAACGGGGUUGAUUUAUUUUUUCUUACUGGUAUAAAAGCAAAAUCAGUCAAAUGGAAAACCUAUUCCUAGCCCACAUAUGAGUGAGCUACCUCUGGAUAUGGAGCAACCAGCAUCAAUAAAUCUAACAUUGUGAUCAUGUAGAAGAUGGAAAUACUGUCUGGGGUUUGUUGAGAACCAUACUCAUCAUUCUACAUUUUGGUAAUUUUUUUGAUACAUGUUCACAGUUCCAAUUGUAAUUGGAGUAACUGAUCAAAAGGUAUUUUUUAUGGCUAUCAGAGUCUGAAAAUGAGGGAUGGGUCAAAAAAGGCCUAAGCAUAUACAACCUCCCUUAAUUCACAUUAUGGUCAACACCACAGGUUCACUACUUGAAGAUAUUUAGAUGCAGUUCUCCAAGGGGAGUGCACAUAGUGUCUCUGUAACAUCUUUGUGCUCAAUAUUGGCUGUGAACUGUUUCUUUUCCUGAAAGCCAUGUUCCCUUUCCAACCCUUGUUCUUAAGUACACUGAGUUAAGACCUUUGGUGAAAGCAAGAAUUUACUUUAAAGAAUAGGUGUAUUACGUGCUGUAUGUAAUGGACUCCUAAAAUGUAAUUCAAAAGCUAUAGAGAUCAAUUCAAUAGAGACCUCAUCUGGCUUUACACUUGUAAUCACUUCUACAUUUAUUUUCAGAAACAUUAUGCUGUUUGCUAUAAGAUUAAAAAAAUGUGAGAAUUGGCAAAUUGUUCUGAAAGAAGUCUCUUCUUAGAAAUGUGGCUCUUCAGUUCUACCACGCUUACAAGUUCAGUGGUGUUUUCAUCAACUAAAGUUUAUUGUGAAAUAUACUGAAUGUACUUACUAUUGUGGCUAACCAUGUGAAAAUUAUUGUUUUGCAGUAAAAGAGGUUAUGGCACUUACAUUUCUGGGAUCUGCUGAAGCAUGUUUGCUAUCAUUAGUUGCUCUUUUUUUUUCCUGUGUUUUAACGUAUCCCACUGUUGUUUGCCCUUUAUGCAGUUUGAUUUUGGCAACAGAUGAUUAAGUGUAGUUUUGCACUGAUAAAAUUUGAAAAUAUCAUAGACUUCAUUGUUCAAAUGUAUUCUAAGAAAAAUGUGUUGUAAAAAGAAAAAACCCCAAAGCCCAAAAAUUUUUACUUGCAAAAUGGAACAGCUCUAUGUCUGUUUAUGAAUGGUCCUGCUCUCUUCUCUGUGUUCCUUUGCAGUGUUAAAUUACAGAAUGCCAUGCAUGUUUGGUAGUACCAAUACCAUAUGUAUUUGGUAGGAGUGGUAACCAGUUUCUGGAUUUGUAAUGCACUAUAAAGAGAUACUUUAUAAUUCUGUAUCUGUAUGGCAGUGUUAUGCCAAAAAAAAUUGUAGAAACAUAAAAAGCAAUAGUUUAUGUUGCUUACUGCUAUAUUUUAAAUCAUUUGUAAAAUUAAAUACUUGGAUUUCCUUUCAGGUAAAUAUAUUUUUAAUAACAGCAGCCAAAAACUCUGAACUAAUAAAGCUUCUUCAUUUAGCAGCAUUGUUUUAGCAACAUGUACAAAUAUUGUGUAACUCUAAUUAACGUGCAAUUGCUGUUUGGUGCUUGUUUGUAUAGUAGUCUGUAAAUAUAUUAACACUUAAAAGUAGGGAAUUAAA
Non-coding RNA from Sturnus vulgaris (Common starling), 5162 nucleotides. Lineage: Eukaryota; Metazoa; Chordata; Aves; Passeriformes; Sturnidae. The record is from RefSeq and is a predicted model, not a curated record.